GUGCCAGGCAGCCGCGGUAAUACCGGCAGCUCAAGUGAUGGCCACUCUUAUUGGGCCUAAAGCAUCCGUAGCUGGCCGCGCAAGUCCGUCGGGAAAUCCACUCGCUCAACGAGUGGGCGUCCGACGGAAACUGCACAGCUUGGGACCGGAAGGCUCGAAGGGUACGUUCGGGGUAGGAGUGAAAUCCCAUAAUCCCGCACGGACCACCGAUGGCGAAAGCACUUCGAGAAAACGGAUCCGACAGUGAGGGACGAAAGCCAGGGUCUCCAACCGGAUUAGAAACCCUUGUAGUCC
RNAcentral lists this ribosomal RNA (294 nucleotides) under uncultured bacterium. RNAcentral's name for it is "partial 16S ribosomal RNA". It matches the Rfam family "Archaeal small subunit ribosomal RNA", at positions 455 to 747 of the family's 1478-position model. The record is from RNAcentral.